RNAcentral lists this ribosomal RNA (465 nucleotides) under uncultured bacterium. Its description in RNAcentral is "partial 16S ribosomal RNA". It matches the Rfam family "Bacterial small subunit ribosomal RNA", at positions 338 to 795 of the family's 1533-position model. The record is from RNAcentral.
CCUACGGGAGGCAGCAGUCGAGAAUCAUUCACAAUGGGGGAAACCCUGAUGAUGCGACGCCGCGUGAGGGAUGAAGGUCUUCGGAUCGUAAACCUCUGUCAGCAGGGAAGAACGGUCACUGUGCUAAUCAGCAGUGAAUUGACGGUACCUGCAAAGGAAGCACCGGCUAACUCCGUGCCAGCAGCCGCGGUAAUACGGAGGGUGCGAGCGUUAGUCGGAAUUACUGGGCGUAAAGCGCUCGUAGGCGGUAUGUCAAGUCAAGGGGGAAAUCCCCGCGCUCAACGUGGGAACUGCCUGUGAAACUGGCAAACUGGAGUGUGUGAGAGGAUAGUGGAAUUCCAGGUGUAGGAGUGAAAUCCGUAGAUAUCUGGAGGAACAUCAGUGGCGAAGGCGACUAUCUGGCACAUAACUGACGCUGAGGAGCGAAAGCGUGGGUAGCAAACAGGACUAGAUACCCCUGUAGUC